GGAUUGUGGCUCAGUGGUAGAGCACUCACCCACCCAGCACGUGCGAGGCCCUGGGUUCAAUCCUCAGUACCA
This 72-nucleotide transfer RNA is filed under the name Marmota monax (woodchuck). RNAcentral describes it as "tRNA.Ala". Lineage: Eukaryota; Metazoa; Chordata; Mammalia; Rodentia; Sciuridae. The record is from RNAcentral.